AGUGAACGCUGGCGGUAGGCCUAACACAUGCAAGUCGAACGGCAGCACAGUAAGAGCUUGCUCUUACGGGUGGCGAGUGGCGGACGGGUGAGGAAUACAUCGGAAUCUACUUUUUCGUGGGGGAUAACGUAGGGAAACUUACGCUAAUACCGCAUACGACCUACGGGUGAAAACAGGGGAUCUUCGGACCUUGCGCGAUUGAAUGAGCCGAUGUCGGAUUAGCUAGUUGGCGGGGUAAAGGCCCACCAAGGCGACGAUCCGUAGCUGGUCUGAGAGGAUGAUCAGCCACACUGGAACUGAGACACGGUCCAGACUCCUACGGGAGGCAGCAGUGGGGAAUAUUGGACAAAGGGCGCAAGCCUGAUCCAGCCAUACCGCGUGGGUGAAGAAGGCCUUCGGGUUGUAAAGCCCUUUUGUUGGGAAAGAAAAGCAGCAGGUUAAUACCCCGCUGUUCUGACGGUACCCAAAGAAUAAGCACCGGCUAACUUCGUG
This 492-nucleotide ribosomal RNA is filed under the name uncultured bacterium. RNAcentral describes it as "partial 16S ribosomal RNA". It matches the Rfam family "Bacterial small subunit ribosomal RNA", at positions 29 to 507 of the family's 1533-position model. The record is from RNAcentral.